This 362-nucleotide ribosomal RNA is filed under the name Streptococcus suis. RNAcentral's name for it is "bacterial SSU rRNA". It matches the Rfam family "Bacterial small subunit ribosomal RNA", at positions 1 to 359 of the family's 1533-position model. The record is from RNAcentral. Lineage: Bacteria; Bacillati; Bacillota; Bacilli; Lactobacillales; Streptococcaceae.
AAAUUGAAGAGUUUGAUCAUGGCUCAGAUUGAACGCUGGCGGCAGGCCUAACACAUGCAAGUCGAACGGUAACAGGAAGAAGCUUGCUUCUUUGCUGACGAGUGGCGGACGGGUGAGUAAUGUCUGGGAAACUGCCUGAUGGAGGGGGAUAACUACUGGAAACGGUAGCUAAUACCGCAUAACGUCGCAAGACCAAAGAGGGGGACUUUCGGGCCUCUUGCCAUCGGAUGUGCCCAGAUGGGAUUAGCUAGUAGGUGGGGUAACGGCUCACCUAGGCGACGAUCCCUAGCUGGUCUGAGAGGAUGACCAGCCACACUGGAACUGAUACACGGUCCAGACUCCUACGGGAGGCAGCAGUGGGG